RNAcentral lists this ribosomal RNA (508 nucleotides) under fungal sp. PTFL011. RNAcentral describes it as "eukaryotic LSU rRNA". The stretch from base 153 to 306 matches the Rfam family "5.8S ribosomal RNA". The record is from RNAcentral. Lineage: Eukaryota; Fungi.
CCUCACCUCGGUGAGGGCUCCAGCUUGUCUGAAUUAUUCACCCAUGUCUUUUGCGCACUUCUUGUUUCCUGGGCGGGUUCGCCCGCCACCAGGACCAAACCAUAAACCUUUUUGUAAUUGCAAUCAGCGUCAGUAAACAAUGUAAUUAUUACAACUUUCAACAACGGAUCUCUUGGUUCUGGCAUCGAUGAAGAACGCAGCGAAAUGCGAUACGUAGUGUGAAUUGCAGAAUUCAGUGAAUCAUCGAAUCUUUGAACGCACAUUGCGCCCUUUGGUAUUCCAAAGGGCAUGCCUGUUCGAGCGUCAUUUGUACCCUCAAGCUUUGCUUGGUGUUGGGCGUCUUUGUCUCUCACGAGACUCGCCUUAAAAUGAUUGGCAGCCGACCUACUGGUUUCGGAGCGCAGCACAAUUCUUGCACUUUGAAUCAGCCUUGGUUGAGCAUCCAUCAAGACCACAUUUUUUUCAACUUUUGACCUCGGAUCAGGUAGGGAUACCCGCUGAACUUAAG